This 253-nucleotide ribosomal RNA is filed under the name uncultured bacterium. Its description in RNAcentral is "partial 16S ribosomal RNA". It matches the Rfam family "Bacterial small subunit ribosomal RNA", at positions 524 to 776 of the family's 1533-position model. The record is from RNAcentral.
UACGUAGGGUCCGAGCGUUGUCCGGAGUUACUGGGCGUAAAGGGCGCGCAGGUGGCAGUGUUGGCCCGGCGUGAAAGCCCCCGGCUCAACCGGGGAGGGUCGUCGGGGACCGCACCGCUUGAGGGCGGUAGGGGCUGGUGGAAUGCCUGGUGUAGUGGUGAAAUGCGUAGAGAUCAGGCGGAACACCCGUAGCGAAGGCGGCCAGCUGGGCCGUCCCUGACACUGAGGCGCGAAGGCGUGGGGAGCGAACGGG